GAUGAACGCUGGCGGCGUGCCUAAUACAUGCAAGUCGAGCGAACAGACGAGGAGCUUUCUCCUCUUACGUUAGCGGCGGACGGGUGAGUAACACGUGGAUAACCUCCCUAUAAUACUGGGAUAAAUUCGGGAAACCGGCGCUAAUACCGGAUAAUAUAUUGAACCGCAUGGUUCAAUAGUGAAAGGCGGUUUUGCUGUCACUUAUAGAUGGAUCCGCGCGGCAUUAGCUAGUUGGUAAGGUAACGGCUUACCAAGGCAACGAUGCGUAGCCGACCUGAGAGGGUGAUCGCCCACACUGGAACGGAGACACGGACCAGACUCCUACGGGAGGCAGCAGUAGGGAAUCUUCCGCAAUGGGCGAAAGCCUGACGGAACGACGCCGCGUGAGUGAUGAAGGUCUUCGGAUCGUAAAACUCUGUUAUUAGGGAAGAACAAAUGUGUAAGUAACUAUGCACGUCGUGACGGUACCUAAUCAGAAAGCCACGGCUAACUACGUG
Molecule: ribosomal RNA, 497 nt
Filed under: uncultured bacterium
Lineage: Bacteria
Description: partial 16S ribosomal RNA
Rfam family: Bacterial small subunit ribosomal RNA
Source: RNAcentral